GAUGAACGCUGGCGGCGUACCUAAUACAUGCAAGUCGAGCGAACGGACGAGAAGCUUGCUUUUCUGAUGUUAGCGGCGGACGGGUGAGUAACACGUGGAUAACCUACCUAUAAGACUGGGAUAACUUCGGGAAACCGGAGCUAAUACCGGAUAAUAUUUUGAACCGCAUGGUUCAAAAGUGAAAGACGGUCUUGCUGUCACUUAUAGAUGGAUCCGCGCUGCAUUAGCUAGUUGGUAAGGUAACGGCUUACCAAGGCAACGAUGCAUAGCCGACCUGAGAGGGUGAUCGGCCACACUGGAACUGAGACACGGUCCAGACUACUACGGGAGGCAGCAGUAGGGAAUCUUCCGCAAUGGGCGAAAGCCUGACGGAGCAACGCCGCGUGAGUGAUGAAGGUCUUCGGAUCGUAAAACUCUGUUAUUAGGGAAGAACAUAUGUGUAAGUAACUGUGCACAUCUUGACGGUACCUAAUCAGAAAGCCACGGCUAACUACGUG
Molecule: ribosomal RNA, 497 nt
Filed under: uncultured bacterium
Lineage: Bacteria
Description: partial 16S ribosomal RNA
Rfam family: Bacterial small subunit ribosomal RNA
Source: RNAcentral